UACGUAGGGUGCGAGCGUUGUCCGGAAUUAUUGGGCGUAAAGAGCUCGUAGGCGGUGUGUCGCGUCGGAUGUGAAAGCCCGGGGCUUAACCCCGGGUCUGCAUUCGAUACGGGCAGACUGGAGUGUGGUAGGGGAGAUCGGAAUUCCUGGUGUAGCGGUGAAAUGCGCAGAUAUCAGGAGGAACACCGGUGGCGAAGGCGGUUCUCUGGGCAUUACCUGACGCUGAGGAGCGAAAGUGUGGGGAGCGAACAGG
RNAcentral lists this ribosomal RNA (253 nucleotides) under uncultured bacterium. RNAcentral describes it as "partial 16S ribosomal RNA". It matches the Rfam family "Bacterial small subunit ribosomal RNA", at positions 524 to 776 of the family's 1533-position model. The record is from RNAcentral.